UGGGUUUUGUUUAGAUCAAGUUUAGCCUUCGCUACUUGCUUGUAGGCGCGCGUGCAGGAUCAGCCGCCCGUCUCCUUGUCUUCGGAACCCCAUUGUUGAUUAAGAUUCAGUUUGAAACCUUCAAUUCAUCUUGCAAAUUCAGUGCUUGUUUUCUCGUUCUUGCUAGUUCUUCGAUUGCUUGCAGGACGGGAGCCCUAGGGGCUGGUUGUCGCGCUCCACAAGAUCGUGACGGCUAUUAGACGUGGUGUAUCGGUUGCUAAGGCGCGGUCUUGAGGGCUGUAGUCGGGCCGUGAACGUCAUCUCCAUCCACCAAUCGAGUUAUCCCCGUCUCUCAUCAAAAGAUCGGGCAAAAACCCUAGCGGGUUCGCAUCAGUUGGUAAUCAGAGCAAGGUUCUUCGGUGAGAGACUUCUAAUCCUUUGCUAUUUUUAAUUAAUUUCCUAUAGUCCAGAAAAGCCAAAAAAAAUAUAGUAAAUUAGUUUUUCCAUAAUCCUAUUAAACCUUUGUGCCUUGGCUAGUACGUUUUAGUUAGGGCUUGUUGAAUUUGCGUUGCUUCGGUUUGUGUCGAGUUGCUGGUCUUAGUGUCUAGUCCUUUAGAGUUUCGAGUUUUUGUCACCAUCUAUACACAGCCGAGUAUUACCAUAUCUUCUCUCUGUCGAAUCUGUUGUGAAGUCCGAAUUGAACUGUGGUCUUGGUCCGGAUCGAGUAGAGUUCCAAUCUGAGUUCAAAAAGAAAGAUAACUCCAUACUUGUUCGGCCUUACUCUAGAGAGAGAGAGAGAGAGUGGAGCGAAAAAAGUGUGUGGAGCGAAUUGCUCUUUUGUAUUCUUUUGUUCAUAUAAUCAGUUUUUGAGGUUGCCCAAAAAAAGAAAAAAAAGAAAAGAGAAAAGAUUCAAAAAAGGGGCUGUUUUUCAUAUUGAUUUUAGGUUUGUUCCACCUUGUUUUCGGGGGUGUGCUGUGGUUUUCCUUUGUGUCCAGGCUCGCGUCUCUAGCACGGUCUAGCC
RNAcentral lists this long non-coding RNA (1000 nucleotides) under Sorghum bicolor (sorghum). Its description in RNAcentral is "long non-coding RNA (SBIC_LNC018448)". Lineage: Eukaryota; Viridiplantae; Streptophyta; Magnoliopsida; Poales; Poaceae. The record is from RNAcentral.